This is a long non-coding RNA of Pelobates fuscus (common spadefoot toad), 184 nucleotides long. RefSeq lists it as uncharacterized. NCBI's taxonomy places the organism in Eukaryota, Metazoa, Chordata, Amphibia, Anura, Pelobatidae. The transcript has 3 exons. The record is from RefSeq and is a predicted model, not a curated record.
GGACCCACUGGUGACACAGGCCCUGAAGAGCUGUAAUGGCUGCCGCCCCCGAUGGCAGUCCUAAUAUCAUCAGAAGACUUGGGGAAGGGCAUACAGAAAGGAAAUACGAAAGGGAAGAAAGGAAUAUACUCGAUCUGUUGUGUCUUUUGACUUGGAUUCAUGGGUUUCCAGACCAAAACAGAAA